This 956-nucleotide long non-coding RNA is filed under the name Hordeum vulgare. RNAcentral describes it as "long non-coding RNA (HVUL_LNC013863)". The record is from RNAcentral. Lineage: Eukaryota; Viridiplantae; Streptophyta; Magnoliopsida; Poales; Poaceae.
UUCCAUUCUUGAUCUGUUUUUUCGCUAUCUUAUUCGGUGGUACAAAACUAAAUACGACUCUUAUUCUUGCCCGAUGGAGGUAGCCACGCCCACUCUAAUUCCAUCCAAUGUAUACCACACUUUAAUAGAAGUUAAGCGCUUAAGCAGUUCCAGAAGCUGGAGAGAGGUGAAAGCUGGAAAGCCAAUAGCCAGAAUUCUGUUGGCAAUAGUGGAAUAGCCAGCUAAUACUGGUGCAAGCUCGAGUAUCGAGCAACACUACCUAGUAACCAUACCAUACCAUACAUCUACUAAACAGAGGAUGACAUAUCCAAUAAAGGAUUGGUAAUUCCUGACGGAAGAAGAAUCAGAGGAAUCGAAGCAAUCAUAAAAGCAGGAAAUUGCAAUGCCUUCUCCACCCCUUUUUGAUAAAACAAUUGUAUUUAGCGCGCCUCAAGCCUCCUUCCUCGGGGUAGGUCCCGCGUAUGACCCAACCCAUCUCCCCGAAGGCUGGCAGGUUCGGAAAUAGCUUGCGCAGAAGCGAGAACCCCAGGUCCAUAUCUACAAAAAAUAUGUAGUUUUUGUAAGCGAGCUGAGGAAUAAAAGUAAGAAAGUUGUUUUUACAAGGGAUAUUUGAGGUACCACAAGGCCUCUUUUCUUAAAGGAAUCCGCCUUCAAACGCGUUCCACAAAAAAAGAAGUAGGACCCUAUUGCAAGUUCCUUGCACUUUAACCGAGAAACAAAUCAUGUGUUUCUUGUCUAUUUCUUUUUAUCACAGGAGGGGAGGUGAAGGGGAAUUGAAAGAGGAAGAAAUUCAAUGAGUUCUCACCUUUCCUUACUUCUGGUGUUUCCUGGUAUGUCGUCCUACUCUUUUUUUCUCUCUCUUUUUCUCCUUUCAAUUGGCAUGAAUCUCAGCUCGUUUCAGCCGCCAUGGGAGGCUUGGCGAUGGGAGUUUCUUUCGUGGGGAAGAAGAUGGAAGU